UACGGAGGAUGCGAGCGUUAUCCGGAUUUAUUGGGUUUAAAGGGUGCGUAGGCGGACGCUUAAGUCAGCGGUAAAAUUGCGGGGCUCAACCUCGUAGAGCCGUUGAAACUGGGUGUCUUGAGUGGGCGAGAAGUACGCGGAAUGCGUGGUGUAGCGGUGAAAUGCAUAGAUAUCACGCAGAACUCCGAUUGCGAAGGCAGCGUACCGGCGCCCAACUGACGCUGAAGCACGAAGGCGUGGGUAUCGAACAGG
This 252-nucleotide ribosomal RNA is filed under the name uncultured bacterium. RNAcentral's name for it is "partial 16S ribosomal RNA". It matches the Rfam family "Bacterial small subunit ribosomal RNA", at positions 524 to 776 of the family's 1533-position model. The record is from RNAcentral.